This 386-nucleotide ribosomal RNA is filed under the name uncultured bacterium. RNAcentral describes it as "bacterial SSU rRNA". It matches the Rfam family "Bacterial small subunit ribosomal RNA", at positions 1 to 363 of the family's 1533-position model. The record is from RNAcentral.
UCGAGCCGUACUCCGAAUGCUUAGAUUAAAGUUUGAUCAUGGCUCAGACUGAACGCUUNCGGUAGGCCUAACACAUGCAAGUCGAACGGCAGCACAGGAGAGCUUGCUCUCUGGGUGGCGAGUGGCGGACGGGUGAGGAAUACAUCGGAAUCUACUCUGUCGUGGGGGAUAACGUAGGGAAACUUACGCUAAUACCGCAUACGACCUACGGGUGAAAGCAGGGGAUCUUCGGACCUUGCGCGAUUGAGUGAGCCGAUGUCGGAUUAGCUAGUGGGCGGGGUAAAGGCCCACCAAGGCGACGAUCCGUAGCUGGUCUGAGAGGAUGAUCAGCCACACUGGAACUGAGACACGGUCCAGACUCCUACGGGAGGCAGCAGUGGGGAUUG